CCCUUUGUGAGGGAUAAACAUUCAGACCCUUGUAGCAGUGUUCUGGAAUCCUAUGUGAGGGACAAACACUCAGAACCCAGCAGCAGUGUUCUGGAAUCCUAUGUGAGGGACAAUCACUCAGAACCCAGCAGCAGUGUUCUAGAAUCCUUUGUGAGGGACAAACAUUCAGACCCUCGUAGCAGUGUUCUGGAAUCCUAUGUGAGAGACAAACAUACAGACCACAGCAGGAAUGUUCUGGAAUCCUAUGUGAGGGACAAACAUUCAGACCCUCGGAGCAGUGUUCUGGAAUCCUAUGUGAAGGACCAACAGUCAGAACCCAGUAGCAGUGUUCUGGAAUCCUAUGUGAGGGACAAGCAUUCAGAC
This 363-nucleotide long non-coding RNA is filed under the name Homo sapiens (human). RNAcentral's name for it is "HSALNT0305889". The record is from RNAcentral. Lineage: Eukaryota; Metazoa; Chordata; Mammalia; Primates; Hominidae.